Ribosomal RNA from Vigna angularis (adzuki bean), 119 nucleotides. NCBI's taxonomy places the organism in Eukaryota, Viridiplantae, Streptophyta, Magnoliopsida, Fabales, Fabaceae. The record is from Rfam.
AGGUGCGAUCAUACCAUCACUAAUGCACCGGAUCCCAUCAGACCUCUGCAGUUAAGCGUGCUUGGGCGAGAGUAGUACUAGGAUGGGUGACCUCCUGGGAAGUCCUCGUGUUGCAUUGU